CCAGCUCAAGUGCUCGCACGCACACGAACCUGAUGCGCACUCUUCCUAUCGCUAUCCUCGCCUCUUCGCACGCACGCGAACAGCACGCCUCCGCGAUGCAGCCGCCGCCUGUCGUCACUCCGGUCAUCGCCGGCCGUCUCCGGCGCCGCUGUCCGUCGGCGAAGCUCCGCCAUCCUCUCCUCCCCUGGUUUCCCUUCACCACGACGCCCGGUCGCCAACACGCGCGCGCCCGCGAGGAUCCCAGCCCCGCCGUGCCGCCACUUUCUUCUGGCCGGUUCCGGCCAUCUCUGGCGCCGGCUUGGUGUGGAUUUGUUUCGCCUCACCUCUCUCUACCCCUCACCCUGGUCGAUUUGAUUCUCGUGGCCUCUCCCGUUUGCCCCCAACUUGAAAACCCUAGCUACUGCCGGCCGAUUUGGCCAUCGCCGGCCUCCUCCUCCGACGCUGUUCCCCGGCGUGGCCUCACCACAGACCUCCCUGCCAUAUACCACUGCCUCAGCGCCGCCCCUUUCCCGCACGCGUGCUUCACGGCAACCCUAGCCCACGGUUGGCUCGGUCGCCGGCGUGUUUCCGUCGCCGCCGCGGGCAGACUGCUGCGAUGACGGUGAAUUGGUGGUGUUGUGCUGCGGUGUUGUUGUACUGGUGGAGCGGUGUGGUGUUGGUGGUGACUACUGCAUCCACGACGCCGGCCGGACGGCGUCUACGACUGCAACCCCGACGUCCGUGUACUGGUGGUGAUGCACUGGUGGGGAAUUGCUGUUGUGCUGGUGAUGAUUAUUUCAUCCUCGACGCCGGCUGGACGGUGCCACGGACGCAACCCCGGCGUCGGCCUCUUCCUCUAUUCGACUACACCACUCUAGAGGAUAAGAAAAUUGGGAAGAUUUGGAAUAUGAAGAUUUAGUUUAGAAAUUUCUUGUAUUCUUUUAUAAUUUUCUAUUUCUUUUCUAACUUGUAAUUUAUUGAAUAAUGUUAUUUGUAAUAAAGUUUGAAUUAUUUAUUCAUUUGGAAUUAUCAAAUGUGUUUACUAUUACAUAUUAUGUUUAUAUACUUGUUUAGGUUUAAAGUUCCAAUUCAAAUUCUUAUUUGAAUUUCUACCUUUCAUAUUUGAAUUUGAAUUCAAAUUGUUCCCCUAAAACACAUGAAUUCACAAAGAUCAUGUCGAAAUUUGUCACACUCACAUCGAUGACUAACUCAAUUCCACCGAUGUAAGAGAAACCUCGAUCACUUUGGAGGUUUUAAACAAAAACGCGAAAAUUCCCCGGAUUUUCUAUGCAUGAAUGCAAUGCACACAUCUGUUUCCUCUAUUUUUUUAACCCCAUUACCUAGGAUAUUACACCGCCGCCGCCGAAACGCGUCCGUGCUGUGCUCACCGGGUCGCCGGCGGUCAAGUACGCGGAUAAAAAACGCCAGCUCGAAAUUUCGAGAGACGGUUCCAGAAACCAAGUGGGCUCGCCGUCGCCGCCGCUGCCGCCGCCGAAACGCGUCCGUGUUGUGCUCACCGGGGUUGGAAGUUCCAACGACGCCCGUACUGCACCAACUUCCACGACCAAGGAAUCAUCGUCGUCCGAUGAUUUCAACCCGGCCCUACCCCGGCGAAAUGAGGAAGCGGCACCGACUAUCGACACCACUGUCGCCAUCUUGAUGGAAAAAAACGAGGAGCUCGACUUAGAGUGUGAUCGCCUCCGAGACGAUUUGGUCGCCAAGAAGAAGAAUUCGAAAACUCUUGUGGAGC
This is a non-coding RNA of Lolium perenne, 1729 nucleotides long. The record is from RefSeq and is a predicted model, not a curated record. NCBI's taxonomy places the organism in Eukaryota, Viridiplantae, Streptophyta, Magnoliopsida, Poales, Poaceae.